GCCCCAUCUUUGGAUGGUAAGUCCGUUGGGUCUGAGUGUACUCAAUAAAGAUAUCCUCCUCUAUAUACCCCAAGGUCUCUCUCGGGUCCUCCUGAUCCGCUACACACCUGGUGACCCACAUGGGACUGAGAGACUGCAGCUUGGCUGGCUUCUUUGCCUGUGGGCGGUCUGGGGCCUCGGCUGUGGGAGACCCUUAACUUCAGGACCCAUCAAGGGAACUUAAGCCCAGAGAAAGGAGCUGUUCUCCCGCGUCCCCGGUGCCCCUCCCCUGACAGCACAAGGGAACCCGGAGGGGUUGCAGGACGGUUCCAGGAAUGGCGCCCUUUCUUCAGAACCAUGGUAUCAUACCUUGGAUCCACCACAGUUGGCUGAAACCGGCAGCCCAGGACCAGUGGACCAGCCAGUAGGACCCAGACCAUCUGACCUGGCUGAUCAUGCAAUGAGACCACGUUGCCAGUGGAGAUGACAACAGCCCUAUUCUGGUCACUCCGGAAGCUGACCCGUCUAUGCACGGAAGAAGGUUGAGGAAACAGCAAGCCCUGCUCUAGUCACACUGGGAGCUGACUAGUCUGUGCAUGGCUGAAGCUUGAAGAAUCAUCAUCAGAUGAGCAAAUGUGGCCAGAAGUCUUAGUCCCAGUAAUCUUCUUUGUAUUAUUCAUUAUAUUGCUAUAACCACCAUGAAAUAAAAUAUUUUAUUUUUCAUCCAC
This 707-nucleotide long non-coding RNA is filed under the name Homo sapiens (human). Its description in RNAcentral is "HSALNT0320059". Lineage: Eukaryota; Metazoa; Chordata; Mammalia; Primates; Hominidae. The record is from RNAcentral.